AUACGUAGGGUGCGAGCGUUGUCCGGAAUUACUGGGCGUAAAGAGCUCGUAGGUGGUUUGUCGCGUCGUCUGUGAAAUUCCGGGGCUUAACUCCGGGCGUGCAGGCGAUACGGGCAUAACUUGAGUACUGUAGGGGAGACUGGAAUUCCUGGUGUAGCGGUGAAAUGCGCAGAUAUCAGGAGGAACACCGGUGGCGAAGGGGGGUCUCUGGGCAGUAACUGACGCUGAGGAGCGAAAGCAUGGGUAGCGAACAGGAUUAGAUACCCUGGGAUUCCAUGCCGUAAACGGUGGGCGCUAGGUGUAGGGGUCUUCCACGACUUCUGUGCCGUAGCUAACGCAUUAAGCGCCCCGCCUGGGGAGUACGGCCGCAAGGCUAAAACUCAAAUGAAUUGACGGGG
This 398-nucleotide ribosomal RNA is filed under the name uncultured bacterium. Its description in RNAcentral is "partial 16S ribosomal RNA". It matches the Rfam family "Bacterial small subunit ribosomal RNA", at positions 523 to 918 of the family's 1533-position model. The record is from RNAcentral.